Non-coding RNA from Chiloscyllium plagiosum (whitespotted bambooshark), 2033 nucleotides. NCBI's taxonomy places the organism in Eukaryota, Metazoa, Chordata, Chondrichthyes, Orectolobiformes, Hemiscylliidae. The record is from RefSeq and is a predicted model, not a curated record.
CUGCCUGAAUUGCUGUGCUCUUCCAGCACCACUGAUCCAGAAUUCAGCACAUGUGUAGAACGGCACGGACAUCGGCGCAUGCACAGAACAAAGGGCGCUAAACAAUCUGCGCUGGCAUUGCACUAUUGCGAACAGAGGUCUUUGAUGAUAUGGUCCAGGAUGUCCUACAAGGCAUUGAGAUCCAGACUGACACUAGAGGAAGUUAAUUUUUCAUGAGAUCUACACGUCCCUUGAACUUUCUGUUUCUCUGACUCUGUGAAAUCCUCCCUGAGAUUAUUACAAAUUUCACAAAGAAACAAUUGAUCUAAAAUUGAUGAACUUGUGUAAUAAAUAUCUUCUAAACUUGACAAUACCUGUUCCAGUGAAGUAUAUUUGUAAUCAUGCAAAGUGUCUAAAAAAACUGCUAUUGUUACAUUGAUAACUAGCUUUUGCUAGUAUGAAGUUCCAUUCCAUCAAUGUUUAUUUUCUGCUGUAAAACAUUGUUUUAAAAUAUUUUGUUAGAUUUUCAUUUUUCUCUCUUUUAUUUCUCACUUUAAAUCAUUUUGUUUCGUUGUUGAGAUUCUGCAGUGUGCAUCAACAAUUUUUCAAUAUGAUUAGUUACGGAGAUGCAUGCUUGUUCAAAUAGGUCCCAUGUGUGCUGAAAUGGCUUCCCUACUACCGUAGCUGCAGUAGAAAAUCACAAAACAUCUGUAGGAAGGUGCAGGCAUAAUGAAUGACUGAUGUCAUUUGUUUGCCAAUCACACCAAAUUCUGGCACAGCAAAACAUCAGAUCUCUACCCUUGAAGUCAUUGUUAAACGUUUGAGUUCUGAAAUUUAGGAAAGAUGUGAAAUGUAUUCCUGUCAGAAUGAUCAUCAUCCAAAUGGUCCACCUUCUCAUGUAAUGGGCAUUAACUUGACAUCACAGACUCUGGAGCUUGCAUAGAUUUAUUUAUGUGUUUCAAGCCCUAAAAGAAAAGGUCCUCAGUAGCAUGACACAUUACAGAAAUCCUUAACGUGGAUGAAAUGGAUGAAAAAACGCAGGAAUGUUGCAUCUACCUGAAAAAGGAAUAGAAUUUUUAGGUAGGAUCCACAGCACUGAUGAUGUUCAGAUACAAUAUCCAAUGGGCCAAUUAAUUUUCAAAACAAUCAAAUUGACCUUUGCAUUCUUAUCUGAGUCCUAAUGUGGGGUUUAUCUCAUUGUUACAUCCUAGGAAAGCAUUGUAUUGAAUUCCAUUGUCAAAUAGAAUCAUGGUGUCUUUAAAGAAUGGAAACAUAAAAGCCAAGGCAAGUUCACUAAUGAUGUAUAGACAUUCGGAAGCACUUAAGGAUGCAGUGAAGACAUCAUUGUUCAAUGCACAAAUGACUAGUGAAGAAAUAUAUAUUGAAUGCUGGAUGAUAUUUUAUCAAAAUAAAGUGCUACAUGUAACCUCUGUUAUUUCAAAGAAAGUCACAAUGUCACGAAAAUAAACCAUACCAAGCAUACUGCUUCCCAGUGAAUGAUUAAGCUAUACUGAAUGGACUGCCUAUUUUUUUGUCCAGAGAAAGCUUUUAUGAAUAACAUCAAAUAUGUCUACAUCAUCAAUCUUUUUCUUCUCAAAGCACAGAGUCUAAAUAGUAAAAUACGGAUGGUCUUUCAGCGUGUUGUUUAAUCUAUGAGAUAUAAAUAUGUAAUGCCUUACUCAAAUCUGAAUACAGUAAUGUCCCUAUUUCAUAACUGUAUUACCUCAUAACUUUGUCAACACGUCAAUGUUGUGCUCAUCUGCCACAGAUUUCAGUGAUAAUAAUUUUAUGUUCAAUUUAUUGUUUUAUUUAAUAAAUAUGGAAGGCCAUGAACAAAACUGAUGUAUAGCUUACGGCACUGCAUUCAAAUCUGUAAUAUUGUUCACCAGUCACUUGUGUAGAAUCCCUGAUCUAUGCAUAAAAUAUUCUGAGUGAUUUAUGUUUUCAGUGUUCAGCAAUGCUUAGUAUUGUCAGUCCAGCACAUGUCAGACUGGUUUUGGUCAUUAACAAGCUCUUGCAAUAGAUUUUAAUUUGCAUUAAUUAUUUUGUGUUUG